RNAcentral lists this non-coding RNA (206 nucleotides) under Salmo salar (Atlantic salmon). Its description in RNAcentral is "Eukaryotic large subunit ribosomal RNA". It matches the Rfam family "Eukaryotic large subunit ribosomal RNA", at positions 1631 to 1835 of the family's 3401-position model. The record is from Rfam by way of RNAcentral. Lineage: Eukaryota; Metazoa; Chordata; Actinopteri; Salmoniformes; Salmonidae.
GAGGCAUCCAGUGUGGUAACGCGACCGAUCCUGGAGAAGCUGGCGGGACCCCCGGGGAGAGUUCUCUUUUCUUUUGAAGGGCAGGGCAGCCAGGAAUGGGUUCGCCCCAAGAGAGGGGCCCAAGCCCUGGAAAGCGUUGCGGUUUCGGCGGCGUUCGGUGAGCUUUCCCUGGCCCUUGAAAAUCCGAGCGAGAGGUUUUAAAUCUC